GCAAGUCGAGCGGUAAGGCCUUUCGGGGUACACGAGCGGCGAACGGGUGAGUAACACGUGGGUGACCUGCCCUCCACUCUGGGAUAAGCCCGGGAAACUGGGUCUAAUACCGGAUAUGACCUUCUCCUGCAUGGGGGUUGGUGGAAAGUUUUUCGGUGGGGGAUGGGCCCGCGGCCUAUCAGCUUGUUGGUGGGGUGAUGGCCUACCAAGGCGACGACGGGUAGCCGGCCUGAGAGGGCGACCGGCCACACUGGGACUGAGACACGGCCCAGACUCCUACGGGAGGCAGCAGUGGGGAAUAUUGCGCAAUGGGCGAAAGCCUGACGCAGCGACGCCGCGUGGGGGAUGACGGCCUUCGGGUUGUAAACCUCUUUCGCCAGGGACGAAGCGUGAGUGACGGUACCUGGAUAAGAAGCACCGGCCAACUACGUGCCAGCAGCCGCGGUAAUACGUAGGGUGCGAGCGUUGUCCGGAAUUAUUGGGCGUAAAGAGCUCGUAGGCGGUCUGUCGCGUCGGUCGUGAAAACUUGGGGCUUAACCCUGAGCUUGCGGUCGAUACGGGCAUGACUGGAGUUCGGCAGGGGAGACUGGAAUUCCUGGUGUAGCGGUGAAAUGCGCAGAUAUCAGGAGGAACACCGGUGGCGAAGGCGGGUCUCUGGGCCGAUACUGACGCUGAGGAGCGAAAGCGUGCGGAGCGAACAGGAUUAGA
This 708-nucleotide ribosomal RNA is filed under the name Pseudonocardia sp. YIM 48807. RNAcentral describes it as "bacterial SSU rRNA". It matches the Rfam family "Bacterial small subunit ribosomal RNA", at positions 57 to 782 of the family's 1533-position model. The record is from RNAcentral. Lineage: Bacteria; Bacillati; Actinomycetota; Actinomycetes; Pseudonocardiales; Pseudonocardiaceae.